GAUGAACGCUGGCGGCGUGCCUAAUACAUGCAAGUCGAGCGAACAGACGAGGAGCUUGCUCCUCUGACGUUAGCGGCGGACGGGUGAGUAACACGUGGAUAACCUACCUAUAAGACUGGGAUAACUUCGGAAAACCGGAGCUAAUACCGGAUAACAUGUUGAACCGCAUGGUUCAACAGUGAAAGACGGUCUUGCUGUCACUUAUAGAUGGAUCCGCGCCGCAUUAGCUAGUUGGUAAGGUAACGGCUUACCAAGGCAACGAUGCGUAGCCGACCUGAGAGGGUGAUCGGCCACACUGGAACUGAGACACGGUCCAGACUCCUACGGGAGGCAGCAGUAGGGAAUCUUCCGCAAAGGGCGAAAGCCUGACGGAGCAACGCCGCGUGAGUGAAGAAGGUCUUCGGAUCGUAAAACUCUGUUAUUAGGGAAGAACAAAUGUGUAAGUAACUAUGCACGUCUUGACGGUACCUAAUCAGAAAGCCACGGCUAACUACGUG
Molecule: ribosomal RNA, 497 nt
Filed under: uncultured bacterium
Lineage: Bacteria
Description: partial 16S ribosomal RNA
Rfam family: Bacterial small subunit ribosomal RNA
Source: RNAcentral